AUUGAACGCUGGCGGCAGGCCUAACACAUGCAAGUCGAGCGGAUGAAGGGAGCUUGCUCCUGGAUUCAGCGGCGGACGGGUGUGUAAUGCCUAGGAAUCUGCCUGGUAGUGGGGGAUAACGUCCUGAAACGGGCGCUAAUACCGCAUACGUCCUGAGGUAGAAAGUGGGGGAUCUUCGGACCUCACGCUAUCAGAUGAGCCUAGGUCGGAUUAGCUAGUUGGUGGGGUAAAGGCAUACCAAGGCGACGAUCCGUAACUGGUCUGAGAGGAUGAUCAGUCACACUGGAACUGAGACACGGUCCAGACUCCUACGGGAGGCAGCAGUGGGGAAUAUUGGACAAUGGGCGAAAGCCUGAUCCAGCCAGGCCGCGUGUGUGAAGAAGGUCUUCGGAUUGUAAAGCACUUUAAGUUGGGAGGAAGGGCAGUAAGUUAAUACCUUGCUGUUUUGACGUUAACAACAGAAUAAGCACCGGCUAACUUCGUG
RNAcentral lists this ribosomal RNA (484 nucleotides) under uncultured bacterium. Its description in RNAcentral is "partial 16S ribosomal RNA". It matches the Rfam family "Bacterial small subunit ribosomal RNA", at positions 30 to 507 of the family's 1533-position model. The record is from RNAcentral.